UAUAUAUCAUAAAAGAAUGUAUAUAUAUAUACAUGUGUAUAUAUAAAUUAUAAUUAUUUACCACAUGCAUUUUUCUAAUAUAUUUUCUAGACUCUUGUGAUGAAAGUAUAACAUACUCAGAACUCAAAAUUCAUUGUUCUUCAAAUAUUCGGAAGAGAAAAAUAACUAGGAUUUUAAAAACAAAAGAGUCUCCAUGGUGCCUUGCUGCAGUGAUAUUUGCCUUGCUUUAUUUAAUUGUUCUGGUACUAGCUGCAUUUAUGAUAGCUAAGGUUUAUUGUCUAGAAGAACUUCUGAAUACAUGGGAAACCAACCAUCAAAAUGAGACUUCACCUUGCAAAAUAAUAUAAAACAGAGGUCCUUCUCUGAAGAAAACUGUUACUUUAUUUCUGCUGAAAAUAAAGUCUUGGCAGCAAGGAAAUUGUUCUGAAGCACUGAGCUCCAGUCUUAUCAAGACAAAUAACAAGGAAGAAUUGGAAAUGUAUGGCAUUCCUUCCUACAUUUUCUUAUACAGAAGAUAAUUACAGAGACAUUUUAACAUCCUGUGUUCAUUCAAGCCUGCUAAACUCAACAUAUUAUAAUAAUUGGAGAUCUCUGAACCAAACCCAAAAUAUCAAAAUAUGGGCUUAAAUGGUUAAGUGAUUUGUAAAUGCAAAUGUAUUUGCAUAUAGAAGUAAAUGCUAAUAUAUUAAAAUCUCAGACCUUGGCAAAGAAAUGGGAGGAAACCACAUAGAACAUGCAAACUGAAGAGCAUUUAGUCACAAUUAGCACUUAAAAAAUACCUAACAUUUAUUGAUUGCUUCCAAUAUUCCCGAUACUACUUCAGUGUAUCAUAUAUUAGAUCAUGUACUGCCCCAAUAAUUCCUACAAAACAGUACUAGUAUUGUGAUUGUCUUAUUAAUAAAGAAACUGAGCCCCAGAAAGAAUGAGAAAUUGUUCCAAAAUUGUAUGGCUAGUAAGAAUUAGAAACGUGAUUUAAGUCAAAUAGUUUUACUCUAGAGAUCAUGCGUGUAACUAUUAUGCUAUGCUGAUCUCGGAGUAACAAAUCAUAUCAAAUCAAGUUGUAAGAAUAUUGCUUCCUUAG
Aethalodelphis obliquidens (Pacific white-sided dolphin) is the source of this 1081-nucleotide long non-coding RNA. RefSeq lists it as uncharacterized. The record is from RefSeq and is a predicted model, not a curated record. The transcript has 4 exons. NCBI's taxonomy places the organism in Eukaryota, Metazoa, Chordata, Mammalia, Artiodactyla, Delphinidae.